This 484-nucleotide ribosomal RNA is filed under the name uncultured bacterium. Its description in RNAcentral is "bacterial SSU rRNA". It matches the Rfam family "Bacterial small subunit ribosomal RNA", at positions 29 to 524 of the family's 1533-position model. The record is from RNAcentral.
AACAAACGCUGGCGGCGUGCCUAAUACAUGCAAGUCGAACGGGGAAAGUUCUUCGGAAUGAGUACUAGUGGCGUACGGGUGAGCAACACGUGGAUAAUCUUCCUUCAGGUGGGGAAUAACGAGUCGAAAGAUUCGCUAAUACCGCAUAAGACCACAGUAACUUUGGUUACAGGGGUUAAAGACUUCGGUCGCCUUUAGAUGAGUCUGCGUCCGAUUAGCUAGUUGGUGAGGUAAUGGCUCACCAAGGCGACGAUCGGUAACUGGUCUGAGAGGACGGCCAGUCACACUGGGACUGAGACACGGCCCAGACUCCUACGGGAGGCAGCAGUAGGGAAUUUUGCACAAUGGAGGAAACUCUGAUGCAGCGACGCCGCGUGAGUGAUGAAGGCCUUCGGGUCGUAAAGCUCUGUUCUCAGGGAAGUAAAAAAUAGAAGGUACCUGAGGAGAAAGGACCGGCUAACUUCGUGCCAGCAGCCGCGGUAAU